Molecule: long non-coding RNA, 464 nt
Filed under: Ananas comosus (pineapple)
Lineage: Eukaryota; Viridiplantae; Streptophyta; Magnoliopsida; Poales; Bromeliaceae
Description: long non-coding RNA (ACOM_LNC034358)
Source: RNAcentral
AUCCUUGUACAUCUUGGUGCCUCCCGGAUGUAUAGCAUACGGUGCUCGGUGGGCUUCUUGAAGAAUAUCCUCUUUAAUGCCCAAGUCCGCCGAUACACAAAGUCGUCCGCGGAAAUGCACCAAUCCAUCACCGUCUGAAGUGAAGUCACCGGUGCAACCAUCAACCAUCUUAGCUCGAAUCUUUUGCAACUCCGAGUCGGAAGCUUGCUUUUCUUUAAUCUUUUCCAAAAGUGUAGGUUGCACCACCAAAGUCAUCAGUCUCAAAGGUGUAUCAGGAGCCACCACCUCCAACUCCAACCGCUUCAUCUGCUCGAUUAACGGCGGUUGAGUAACCACAAGCAUCGCUAAGUUUUCCGUCGAUUUCCUACUUAGCGCAUCAGCCACCACGUUAGCCUUGCCCGGGUGGUAAAGUAUCGUCAAAUCAUAAUCCUUGAGUAGCUCCAACCAUCUGUGCUGCCUCAACU